This 579-nucleotide ribosomal RNA is filed under the name Ralstonia sp. RDB-141. Its description in RNAcentral is "bacterial SSU rRNA". It matches the Rfam family "Bacterial small subunit ribosomal RNA", at positions 102 to 677 of the family's 1533-position model. RNAcentral also lists the same sequence under 1 other name. The record is from RNAcentral. Lineage: Bacteria; Pseudomonadati; Pseudomonadota; Betaproteobacteria; Burkholderiales; Burkholderiaceae.
ACGGGUGAGUAAUACAUCGGAACGUGCCCUGUAGUGGGGGAUAACUAGUCGAAAGAUUAGCUAAUACCGCAUACGACCUGAGGGUGAAAGUGGGGGACCGCAAGGCCUCAUGCUAUAGGAGCGGCCGAUGUCUGAUUAGCUAGUUGGUGGGGUAAAGGCCCACCAAGGCGACGAUCAGUAGCUGGUCUGAGAGGACGAUCAGCCACACUGGGACUGAGACACGGCCCAGACUCCUACGGGAGGCAGCAGUGGGGAAUUUUGGACAAUGGGCGAAAGCCUGAUCCAGCAAUGCCGCGUGUGUGAAGAAGGCCUUCGGGUUGUAAAGCACUUUUGUCCGGAAAGAAAUGGCUCUGGUUAAUACCUGGGGUCGAUGACGGUACCGGAAGAAUAAGGACCGGCUAACUACGUGCCAGCAGCCGCGGUAAUACGUAGGGUCCAAGCGUUAAUCGGAAUUACUGGGCGUAAAGCGUGCGCAGGCGGUUGUGCAAGACCGAUGUGAAAUCCCCGAGCUUAACUUGGGAAUUGCAUUGGUGACUGCACGGCUAGAGUGUGUCAGAGGGGGGUAGAAUUCCACGUGUA